CCCUUAGACGUUCUGGGCCGCACGCGCGCUACACUGACGAAGGCAACGAGCUUUCCUUUACCGAAAGGUACGGGUAAUCUUUUGAAACUUCGUCGUGCUGGGGAUAGAUCCUUGCAAUUUUUGAUCUUAAACGAGGAAUGCCUAGUAAGCGCAAGUCAUCAACUUGCGUUGAUUACGUCCCUGCCCUUUGUACACACCGACCGUCGCUACUACCGAUUGAAUGGUUUAGUGAGGCCUUCGGAUCCGCGACUCGUUUGUGGAGAAGUUGGACAAACUCAGUCAUUUAGAGGAAGUAAAAGUCGUAACA
RNAcentral lists this ribosomal RNA (307 nucleotides) under uncultured eukaryote. RNAcentral describes it as "partial 18S ribosomal RNA". It matches the Rfam family "Eukaryotic small subunit ribosomal RNA", at positions 1470 to 1796 of the family's 1831-position model. The record is from RNAcentral.